This 1466-nucleotide long non-coding RNA is filed under the name Brassica napus (rape). RNAcentral's name for it is "long non-coding RNA (BNAP_LNC011889)". The record is from RNAcentral. Lineage: Eukaryota; Viridiplantae; Streptophyta; Magnoliopsida; Brassicales; Brassicaceae.
GAAGCUCGGCAACAUCUAUGCUGAUUGCGUCGAACUCCGAACUAACGGUUUCCCCAACAUUGAGGAGAAUGCUCUGCAAAACCGCCAAUGACUCACCAGUACGCUUGGAGAACUCAAGUAAGGUCAUGCCUUCGAACACAUCGACUGUUUUCUCAGCCAAUCCCUUUGCCAAUCUUUGUAGCCUGGGAGGCACAUAAGGAGCUUCAACGGGUGGCUUAUCAGUUUUCUUCUCCCGUUUUGAGAACUUUCCUUUCGUUUUCACAGUCUGCUUCUUGAGCUCACGAUGGCUCAGCUGACGAUCAGGAUCCUCUUUUCUUCUCGCCAGUGUUUCUCGGCUUACAUGAAAGCACCUGCUGCUCAAAAAACACAGGACAGUGAACAUUUCUAUAGAAUAAUAUAUAAGAGAGAAGGAUUAAAAAGUGUAGGCGAAUGGUUUAUACCUUAUGGAUGUGAAGGUUGGGAAAGAUUCAUGAUUAGGCGAGCUGAACCCGAACCCUAAAACAUGAAUAAAAGUGUUCUUUAUCCAUUUUCCACAACGUUAAAAGGAAAUCUUGUAACCAUCCUUUUCACUGUGCUUACCAUUAAUGUACCGAGCGAAUGAGAAAGCAACACUUCCAGAAGUGCUUUUGGAAAACGUAGAGGAAAUAUGUCUCUCCUCAACAACCUGAACGUUUCCUCCGAUAUCUUCAAGCUCUAUCCCCUCAGCGGCGAGCUGGUUCUUGACUCUUUCCGGAUUAGCUCCCGGCUUAUCGCAUUUAUUAAUCGCAACCACAAUCGGAACAUUGGCCGACCUAGCGUGCGCGAUGGCCUCGAGCGUCUGUGGCAUUACACCAUCAUCAGCAGCAACCACCAAGACAACUAUAUCAGUAACAGCAGCUCCCCGAGCACGCAUCUCACUGAAAGCGGCGUGACCAGGCGUGUCUAGGAAGGUGAUUGAAGUGCCGGAGUCCGGCAUGCCCACCACGAACGCACCCACGUGCUGAGUGAUCCCACCUGCUUCUCUUGCCGCCACGGAGGUGUUUCUUAAAGCGUCUAACAGAGAGGUCUUUCCAUGAUCGACAUGGCCCAUUACCGUUACAACCGGAGGCCUUGGGAGGAUCUGUGAUCCUUCUGUAGUGUGCUGUCUCCUUACAUUGAUCCCUAUUUCCUGCAAAAGAAGAAGAUCUUAACAUGCAAGAUCCAUGACCUUGUAGCUAGAGGUUCGAAUCAUUUUAUUACCAUUGCAAGAAGCUCGGCAACAUCUAUGCUGAUUGCGUCGAACUCCGAACUAACGGUUUCCCCAACAUUGAGGAGAAUGCUCUGCAAAACCGCCAAUGACUCACCAGUACGCUUGGAGAACUCAAGUAAGGUCAUGCCUUCGAACACAUCGACUGUUUUCUCAGCCAAUCCCUUUGCCAAUCUUUGUAGCCUGGGAGGCACAUAAGGAGCUUCAACGGGUGGCUUAUCAGUUUUCUUCUCCCGUUUUG